RNAcentral lists this long non-coding RNA (207 nucleotides) under Elaeis guineensis (African oil palm). Its description in RNAcentral is "long non-coding RNA (EGUI_LNC064467)". Lineage: Eukaryota; Viridiplantae; Streptophyta; Magnoliopsida; Arecales; Arecaceae. The record is from RNAcentral.
GUUCGUGCAUUGUGCUGUGUAAAGCUACGCCGCAUUAUUUCUGUAUGUCCCACUCUGCAUGUCUAAGCCACUAUCGCUUGUACUAUUCUAUGUAUUAAAACUCAUUUCAACUUGGACCAGACUAGCCUCGCUCGAGUCCUCUGUAAGCCGGACCCGUUCAAAUCCUUUGUUCGCCCAGGCUGUGAAUCGUGCCGUGCAUACGCCACC